UGAGGAAUAUUGGUCAAUGGACGUAAGUCUGAACCAGCCAAGUAGCGUGCAGGAUGACGGCCCUAUGGGUUGUAAACUGCUUUUGUGCGGGGAUAAAGUGUGGGACGUGUCCCAUAUUGCAGGUACCGCAUGAAUAAGGACCGGCUAAUUCCGUGCCAGCAGCCGCGGUAAUACGGAAGGUCCGGGCGUUAUCCGGAUUUAUUGGGUUUAAAGGGAGCGUAGGCCGGAGAUUAAGCGUGUUGUGAAAUGCCGCGGCUCAACCGUGGCACUGCAGCGCGAACUGGUU
Molecule: ribosomal RNA, 286 nt
Filed under: uncultured Prevotella sp.
Lineage: Bacteria; Pseudomonadati; Bacteroidota; Bacteroidia; Bacteroidales; Prevotellaceae
Description: partial 16S ribosomal RNA
Rfam family: Bacterial small subunit ribosomal RNA
Source: RNAcentral